Molecule: non-coding RNA, 143 nt
Organism: Camelina sativa (false flax)
Lineage: Eukaryota; Viridiplantae; Streptophyta; Magnoliopsida; Brassicales; Brassicaceae
Source: RefSeq, a predicted model, not a curated record
UCAUUUGAAUUCGUCUCAUGAUUUAUUUGAAUUUGAGUUCAAGCUUUCUGAAGAAUACCAGACAGUUAAUGUUUCUGUAAAACUUGAUUCCUUCAUAUUUGAGGAAGAAGGAAGCGAUGACGAUAAAUUUGAGCCCUUCUCUC